Molecule: long non-coding RNA, 300 nt
Filed under: Nicotiana benthamiana
Lineage: Eukaryota; Viridiplantae; Streptophyta; Magnoliopsida; Solanales; Solanaceae
Description: long non-coding RNA (NBEN_LNC004118)
Source: RNAcentral
GGGCACUCGUAAGGUGUCCAAAGCAAUGCAUACACGAAGGGGGUAUAACCUAAACUCUAUGAGUAGUGAGAGUGUGAUAGAGUUUUAAAGAGAUUGAGUUAAAAACAGUUGAGAAAUUAUCCAUAUAGGACCAGUUUUGAAGGAAAACCAUAGAAGAGUAUGAUAGAGUUCUAUAAAGCAAUUGAGUUUAAAAAAAUAGUUAAAGAUGAUUCAUAUAGAACCAGGUUUGAAAGAAAACAACAGAAGAGUAUGAUAGAGUUCUAAGACAAUAUCAGACUAGAGUAUCAUGUAUGGUUCUGG